AUACUGUUUUAAGCUAUAAUUAAAAAAACAAAAAUUUAUUCAAUUUCUAUAUUAAGGUAUAUACGAUUACUAACAAUUACAACUUCAUGCCAUUGAGUGUCGGGCAAAUCCAAACUGAAAUCUGCUUUAUAGCAUUUUGCUUAGCUUUUUUGGGUUAUUGUGGCAAACUUGUAACCUAAAACAUAAGAGCGAUAACGAUUUAAUGCAAUCUUUGCCUUCCUCCAACUUAUAAAUGGCAGUCUUAUCCGAAUCCCUACCACUAAAUACUGGCAACGAUAACAAGGAUUUAGGCUCGCUACAAUACUUGUCCUUCUUUCAGGCAUCACACUUAGCAAUCUACAUUAUUUCUUAACUAAAAACUAUUUACUAAAUGCAGAUCGUUUAUAAAAUAGGCUACUGGAAAAUACAAUCCUGUUUAAUCCUUGCACUUUAGCGAAACAACUUCGGGUUUUAUCGAAAGCUUGCUUUUGCUUCUAGAGAUUCUUCUUAAUAUCAACAGAUCUCAACUUAACCCAGAAAUUUUAACUUCCUCUGUUUCACAUUCCAACAAUUACUUUAACAAAGUUACUUAAAAACAUACUUAAUUACGAUUUAGGACAUAAGCCCAAUGGAGGUUAAGGGACUCGAACCCUUGACCCUCGGCUUGCAAAGCCGAUGCUCUAACCACCUGA
RNAcentral lists this unclassified non-coding RNA (671 nucleotides) under Borreliella burgdorferi (Lyme disease spirochete). Its description in RNAcentral is "partial 16S-23S ribosomal RNA intergenic spacer". Lineage: Bacteria; Pseudomonadati; Spirochaetota; Spirochaetia; Spirochaetales; Borreliaceae. The record is from RNAcentral.